Molecule: ribosomal RNA, 505 nt
Filed under: Ghanius sp. AG08
Lineage: Eukaryota; Metazoa; Arthropoda; Insecta; Coleoptera; Coccinellidae
Description: partial 16S ribosomal RNA
Rfam family: Bacterial large subunit ribosomal RNA (bases 379-505)
Source: RNAcentral
UUUUUGAAAAUAAUUUAAAGUAGGGCCUGCCCACUGAAAUAUUUGAAGGGCUGCAGUAUUUUGACUGUACAAAGGUAGCAUAAUCAUUAGUUUUUUAAUUGAAAGCUGGAAUGAAAGGUUUGAUGAAAAAAUCAUUGUCUCAAUAUUAAGAAAUUGAAUUUUAUUUUUAAGUUAAAAAGCUUAAAUAUAGUUAAAAGACGAGAAGACCCUAUAGAGUUUAAUUUACAAAAAAUUUUAAAUUAUAGAAUUAAAAUUUUAUUAUUUGUAAGUAAAUUUAAUUGGGGUGAUUGAAAAAUUAAAAUAACUUUUUUUAAUAAAAUACAUUAAUUUAUGAAUAAUUGAUCCAUAUAAAUGAUUAUAAGAAUAAAUUACCUUAGGGAUAACAGCGUAAUUUUUUUAAAGAGUACAAAUCGAAAAAAAAGAUUGCGACCUCGAUGUUGGAUUAAAAUUAAUUUUUGGUGUAGAAGCUAAAAUAUUAGGUCUGUUCGACCUUUANAAUUUUACA